CCUCUCCCUCCUUCUUUCUCCCUCUCUGCCUCUUACCCUCUCUCCCCCCCUCUCUCACACACACACUCCCUCUCCCUCUCUCACUAUGUAGCUCAUUGAAGCUGGCCCCACAAUUCUCCUGGGUUCUGGGAACUCAGACAUAUGCCACUGUGCAUGCCUUCAAGAUUUCAUCCUUAGGCAAGAGAAUAAUUUAAGAGUUAUCUCUAGGCCAAGCUUGGAGGUCUGGGUGAGCCCACUUUGAUCUGAGAGUCCUUGUCUUGUGGAUUUCAUCACCUGUGGUGGUUUGAAAGAAAAUGGACCCUAAAGGGAGUGGUACUAUUAGGAGGUGUGGCUUUGUUAGAGAAGGUAUGGUAUGGUUUUGUUGAAAGAAGUGUGUCACUGUGGAGGCAGGAUUUGAAGUCUCAUAUAUGCUCAAGACAUGCCCAGUGUCUCAGACUGUCAUGUCCUGUUGCCUGUAAGUCAAAAUGUAAGAACUCUCAGCUCCUUCUCUAGCACCAUGUCUACCUGUAUGCUAUCUUGCUUCCAGCCAUGACUAUAAUGGACUAAACCUCUGAACUCCCCAUUUGAAGGAAGGUAUGGAAACUGAGGACACGCUCCUCCCUAUGCCUCCAAAUGACAAAGGAUAGAGAAGCCAGCCUGCAAGGAUGAGCACUCCAGUUGGAAAUGACUCAAAACUAGGACAAAGACAACCUGCAGUCAUCUUGGAUUCCAGAAACAGCAAAUGCCUCACAAUGCAGACUACCUUCCCACCCCAGUGAUAAGGACAAUCAUCUAUGAGGGUGCCCCGGAGGAGAAGUGACCAAUCCCCUCAAACAUGGCAAUUGUGUUGGUAACAACUUCUCCAGGCCACCUGGCAAACUGGAACUGGGAUGAUGAUCAGCUAGACCAGUGUCUUGUCCACAACCACUUGGUUACUCAGACCUCCUGUUCUAUCUUGAUUCUCCACCUUCUACAACCUGAGGCUCCUGUCAGCAACCUGAAGACUGGCUUUGGAGUCAUUGAACCCAUGUCCUUUCCCAUGUGGCCACAUGGAUUAAAUCUCCUCUUCCUGUUCUUCACUAAUAUAAGUCUUUUUAAUUGGCAUGUUUAAUUGUGUUGAAUGACAAAAAUUUUUUCCUGGAGAGAUGUAACACACACAUCUACUCACUGCAGAUAGGGAUCCUGUGACAGACCAAAAAUUAACUCAUAACUGCUACAAUAUGUCCUAAGAAAAUUGGUAACAUCCCAGUGCCUACCAGUAUCAGAAGGACUGGGAAUUGCUGGUGUGUGUGUGAUACAUUGAUGGUUGCCACGCAAUGAGCAAUGAUCCACUGCUUUCAGGCUAAUGGAGAUGAAGAGCACUUGGUCCUCAUUAAUAUCUGUCUUGAAAAUACAUGUUCUCAUUCUUCUCAAGAGUGCUUAAGGAAGAUAUCUCAGCAAUGUGAGGAGAAGAUGUGUAUUGGGAAUGAAGGACAAUGAAUAACCUAAAGCCAAAUGGCUAUCUAACAAAUGACAGAGUAGACUGUGAGUUCUUGGAGACAAACUAUGAUUGGAAGAGCUUGGAUUUCAGCAUCUGCACAUGUAGCAGAAUGUGGGGUAAGUUCCAGCUCACUGAACUUUGCUCUCCACAUCUGUGAAAUGAGGUGGGGGAAACCUUAUCCUCAGGAGUGUCAUAAGGACUCAAGGGAACUGUGUGUAAACCACCUGAUGCUGGGCCUAAGGAGCUGGCUCGACAAGAAUGCUUCCUGUUCUUGCAGAGGACUCAAGUUCACCCAUAUCAGGCAACUCACAACUGCCAACAACUACAGCUCCAGGGAAUCUGACACCUUCUCUGGCUUCCUCAGGUACCUGCAUCUAUAUCCACACACAGACACAUAUUUAGAAAUAAAGCUAAUCUUCUAAAAAAAAAAAGUCAACAAGCUGAAUGGUGGUGGUGCACUCCUUUAAUCCUAAGGAGACAGAGGCAGGCAAAUCUCUGAGUUUGAGGCCAGCCUGGUCUACAGAGUGA
Molecule: long non-coding RNA, 1987 nt
Filed under: Cricetulus griseus (Chinese hamster)
Lineage: Eukaryota; Metazoa; Chordata; Mammalia; Rodentia; Cricetidae
Description: lncRNA (ENSCGRG00015041963.1)
Source: RNAcentral